Molecule: ribosomal RNA, 497 nt
Filed under: uncultured bacterium
Lineage: Bacteria
Description: partial 16S ribosomal RNA
Rfam family: Bacterial small subunit ribosomal RNA
Source: RNAcentral
GAUGAACGCUGGCGGCGUGCCUAAUACAUGCCAGUCGAGCGAACAGACGAGGAGCUUGCUCCUCUGACGUUAGCGGCGGACGGGUGAGUAACACGUGGAUAACCUACCUAUAAGACUGGGAUAACUUCGGGAAACCGGAGCUAAUACCGGAUAAUAUAUUGAACCGCAUGGUUCAAUAGUGAAAGACGGUUUUGCUGUCACUUAUAGAUGGAUCCGCGCCGCAUUAGCUAGUUGGUAAGGUAACGGCUUACCAAGGCAACGAUGCGUAGCCGACCUGAGAGGGUGAUCGGCCACACUGGAACUGAGACACGGUCCAGACUCCUACGGGAGGCAGCAGUAGGGAAUCUUCCGCAAUGGUCGAAAGCCUGACGGAGCAACGCCGCGUGAGUGAUGAAGGUCUUCGGAUCGUAAAACUCUGUUAUUAGGGAAGAACAAAUGUGUAAGUAACUAUGCACGUCUUGACUGUACCUAAUCAGAAAGCCACGGCUAACUACGUG